ACAUGACAAGAUGCGCCUUUGGACAUCUCGUGCCAUCGUAUUUUUCGAAAUCAGGCACCUUGAACUUCGGAGGCAGAACUAGAUCAGGCACCAAACUGAGCUCUUUGGCACUUAGUGCAGAAAAGGCUUCAGUACCCUCUAUUGCUUUGAGUCUUUCCUCUAAGCUCCUAUACUUCUCUUGAGCCUCGUGAUCGUCCGUUCUCAACCU
RNAcentral lists this long non-coding RNA (208 nucleotides) under Gossypium barbadense (sea-island cotton). Its description in RNAcentral is "long non-coding RNA (GBAR_LNC003494)". The record is from RNAcentral. Lineage: Eukaryota; Viridiplantae; Streptophyta; Magnoliopsida; Malvales; Malvaceae.